GACGAACGCUGGCGGCGUGCUUAACACAUGCAAGUCGAACGGUGAAGCGCCUUCCUUUUUGGUGGGUGUGGAUGAGUGGCGAACGGGUGAGUAACACGUGAGUAACCUGCCCCCUUCUUCUGGAUAACCGCAUGAAAGUGUGGCUAAUACGGGAUAUUCUGGGUCUGUCGCAUGAUGGGUCUGGGAAAGAUAUUGUUUCGGUGGGGGAUGGGCUCGCGGCCUAUCAGCUUGUUGGUGGGGUGAUGGCCUACCAAGGCGGUGACGGGUAGCCGGCCUGGGAGGGUUGACGGUCACACUGGGACUGGGACACGGGCCAGACUCGUACGGGAGGCAGCAGUGGGGAAUAUUGCACAAUGGGCGGAAGCCUGAUGCAGCGACGCCGCGUGAGGGAUGGAGGCCUUCGGGUUGUGAACCUCUUUCGCCAGUGAAGCAGGCCUGCCUCGUUUGUGGGUGGGUUGACGGUAGCUGGAUAAGAAGCGCCGGCUAACUACGUG
RNAcentral lists this ribosomal RNA (494 nucleotides) under uncultured bacterium. Its description in RNAcentral is "partial 16S ribosomal RNA". It matches the Rfam family "Bacterial small subunit ribosomal RNA", at positions 28 to 507 of the family's 1533-position model. The record is from RNAcentral.